CCCUACGGGAGGCAGCAGUGAGGAAUAUUGGUCAAUGGGCUUACGCCUGAACCAGCCAAGUCGCGUGAGGGAAGACUGCCCUAUGGGUUGUAAACCUCUUUUGUCAGGGAGCAACGCCGGCUACGUGUAGCCGGACUGAGAGUACCUGAAGAAAAAGCAUCGGCUAACUACGUGCCAGCAGCCGCGGUAAUACGUAGGUGGCGAGCGUUAUCCGGAAUGAUUGGGCGUAAAGGGUGCGUAGGCGGCCUGCUAAGUCUGGAGUGAAAGGUACCGGCUCAACCGGUACAGGCUCUGGAAACUGGCGG
This 305-nucleotide ribosomal RNA is filed under the name uncultured bacterium. Its description in RNAcentral is "bacterial SSU rRNA". It matches the Rfam family "Bacterial small subunit ribosomal RNA", at positions 337 to 639 of the family's 1533-position model. The record is from RNAcentral.